UAGUCCACGCCGUAAACGGUGGGCGCUAGUUGUGCGAACCUUCCACGGUUUGUGCGACGCAGCUAACGCAUUAAGCGCCCCGCCUGGGGAGUACGAUCGCAAGAUUAAAACUCAAAGGAAUUGACGGGGCCCCGCACAAGCAGCGGAGCAUGCGGCUUAAUUCGACGCAACGCGAAGAACCUCACCAAGGCUUGACAUAUACAGGAAUAUGGCAGAGAUGUCAUAGCGGUAAAACGUCUGUAUACAGGUGGUGCAUGGUUGUCGUCAGCUCGUGUCGUGAGAUGUUGGGUUAAGUCCCGCAACGAGCGCAACCCUCGUUCUGUGUUGCCAGCAUUUAGUUGGGGACUCACAGGAGACUGCCGGGGUUAACUCGGAGGAAGGUGGGGAUGACGUCAAAUCAUCAUGCCCCUUAUGUCUUGGGCUGCACGCAUGCUACAAUGGCUGGUACAAAGGGCUGCAAUACUGCAAAGUGGAGCGAAUCCCAAAAAGCCAGUCUCAGUUCGGAUUGGGGUCUGCAACUCGACCCCAUGAAGUCGGAGUUGCUAGUAAUCGUAGAUCAGCAACGCUACGGUGAAUACGUUCCCGGGGCUUGUACACACCGCCCGUCACAUCAC
Molecule: ribosomal RNA, 614 nt
Filed under: uncultured Actinomycetes bacterium
Lineage: Bacteria; Bacillati; Actinomycetota; Actinomycetes
Description: bacterial SSU rRNA
Rfam family: Bacterial small subunit ribosomal RNA
Source: RNAcentral